RNAcentral lists this ribosomal RNA (468 nucleotides) under uncultured bacterium. Its description in RNAcentral is "partial 16S ribosomal RNA". It matches the Rfam family "Bacterial small subunit ribosomal RNA", at positions 28 to 507 of the family's 1533-position model. The record is from RNAcentral.
GACGAACGCUGGCGGCGUGCUUAACACAUGCAAGUCGAACGGAGAGGCCCUGCUUUUGUGGGGUGCUCGAGUGGCGAACGGGUGAGUAACACGUGAGUAACCUGCCCUUGACUUUGGGAUAACUUCAGGAAACUGGGGCUAAUACCGGAUAGGAGCUCCUGCUGCAUGGUGGGGGUUGGAAAGUUUCGGCGGUUGGGGAUGGACUCGCGGCUUAUCAGCUUGCUGGUGGGGUAGUGGCUUACCAAGGCUUUGACGGGUAGCCGGCCUGAGAGGGUGACCGGCCACAUUGGGACUGAGAUACGGCCCAGACUCCUACGGGAGGCAGCAGUGGGGAAUAUUGCACAAUGGGCGGAAGCCUGAUGCAGCAACGCCGCGUGCGGGAUGACGGCCUUCGGGUUGUAAACCGCUUCCGCCUGUGACGAAGCGUGAGUGACGGUAAUGGGUAAAGAAGCACCGGCUAACUACGUG